ACCCCAACAGUUAUACUAACUUACAAAUAUCAUCAAUGUAGUACUUAAAACCUGAUAUUUAGUUAACCAAACUCUAAACUGUUGUGUUCUGUCAAUGACUAAUGAGGUUUUAAUUUUAUUGGAAUAUAAUUCUUUGAGUAAACAUUGCACCGCUACAUAAUAAUUUUGAGUAUCCAGUCGUACGUAGCGUCUGAUGUCAUCAACGUCUUUCUAGGCUUUCAGAAAAAUCAAGAUGGCUAACCUCGAGCGGGCAUGAGAGAUUUUCGAGCAUAACGGAUAAGAAUAUUAACAUAUUUUUGCAUGUACCUGCAAGUCUCAUCAUCGAGUCAAGCGAUCAUUUUCAUAAGUUUUGUCCUGCUUUUUGUUAUAAGCGUUCUCAUUUGGCUCAAGUGGAGGCCAAGAGGUGUGUCAUUUCAAUCUGCAUUGAAAUGGUCCUGGUUUGGUUAUUUCAUCAAAAAACUUCCAAAAGUGUGCAAAUUUUGUUAGAAAACCAAAACUUCCAGAGGGCGAGCCAAUACUUUCAUCCAUGACUGUAUCGCUUGUUUGAUUACCUUCCUGUACAUCUAGGGAUCAUUGUCGGUAGGGCCUAGACUGCAGUGAACAAGUGGGGAAAUAUUUCUACAAUUAUUAUCAUUUUUGAUUUGUUAAUCAAGGAGGAACAUGAUGUCAACAUGAGACUCACUUUGUCCCUUUGUGCACUUCCUGUCUACCUACGUGAGGAUGAUUCUGAGUUCUUCAAGACCUGCAAUCAAGAAGAGGAGCAAGAUAUCAGCGCUGCUCCUGUUGCUCUCCUCACAUCUGGGGCGGGCACCUUCAGUGCCGAGAAGUGGUUGUAGUCUUCGUUGUGGUUGAGGGGGAGGUUGUUUUGAGGGAUCUUCCAAGGUUUGCUGAAGCAUUUAUAUUGUUUGGCCUCAUUUAUGCUUUCAAUUUGGAGUAUCCAAAGAAACUCAUCCACACAUUCACGUUCAUUCGGAAAAUACAGAUGUGUCUGGAGAACAAACCACUGAAACCAUCCCUACUGAAUUUGAAAAAUGAUUUGUUGAACUAAACAGAAAGCUUCAGUGUAAUUAUACAUAAAGGCUCCAUACAUUCUUGUGCUCAUACAGAAGGCUUGUUUUUUUGUUUUUUUUUUCAAAGGAGCGGCCCACAUGUAAAUGUUAACAUUGGCCUGCUUGUUACAGGAAGCCUGUAAAUGUUUUUUAGGUGAAUUUAAAAUUAUGUAGUUGUUUGAUGUGUCAGGGGAUGAACAAAAAGAUUUUUGAGGGUUAAUUUUCUACCAUCCAACAUGUUCAGUUUGGUGUUGUUAAAAAGCUGUCACUUUGUUGUCAUGCAUAGGGGGUUCAGCCAUUGAUAAUGAUUGUGAGCACCUUUGGAAAUGCUUUGUCAAUGCCAUAAACUUGUUAUGUGU
Conger conger (European conger) is the source of this 1408-nucleotide long non-coding RNA. RefSeq lists it as uncharacterized. The transcript has 3 exons. NCBI's taxonomy places the organism in Eukaryota, Metazoa, Chordata, Actinopteri, Anguilliformes, Congridae. The record is from RefSeq and is a predicted model, not a curated record.